UAUUACCGGUACGGGCCGUGGGAGCGGUAGCCCGGAGAUGGGCACUGAGACAAGGGCCCAGGCCCUACGGGGCGCAGCAGUCGCAAAAACUUCGCAAUAAGCGAAAGCUUGACGGGGCCAUCCCGAGUGCCAUCUGCUGAGGAUGGCUUUUACCUAGUAUAGAUAGCUGGGGGAAUAAGGAGAGGGCAAGUCUGGUGUCAGCCGCCGCGGUAAUACCAGCUCUCCGAGUUGUAGGGAUAUUUAUUGGGCCUGAAGCAUCCGUAGCCGGCUGAACAAGUCCCCUGUUAAAUCCAGCGACGAAUCGUUGGCGUGCGGGGGAUACUGCUCGGCUAGGGGGCGGGAGAGGCCGCCGGUAUUCUUGGGGUAGGGGUGAAAUCCUAUAAUCCCAGGAGGACCACCAGUGGCGAAGGCUGUCGGCUAGAACGCGCCCGACGGUGAGGGAUGAAAGCUGGGGGAGCGAACCGGAUUAGAUACCCGGGUAGUCCCAGCUGUAAACGAUGCAGGCUAGGUGUUAGGGCGGCUACGUGCCGCCCUAGUGCCGCAGGGAAGCUGUUAAGCCUGCCGCCUGGGGAGUACGGCCGCAAGGCUGAAACUUAAAGGAAUUGGCGGGGGAGCACCACAAGGGGUGAAGCUUGCGGUUUAAUUGGAGUC
This 651-nucleotide ribosomal RNA is filed under the name uncultured archaeon. Its description in RNAcentral is "bacterial SSU rRNA". It matches the Rfam family "Archaeal small subunit ribosomal RNA", at positions 259 to 913 of the family's 1478-position model. The record is from RNAcentral.